Molecule: ribosomal RNA, 497 nt
Filed under: uncultured bacterium
Lineage: Bacteria
Description: partial 16S ribosomal RNA
Rfam family: Bacterial small subunit ribosomal RNA
Source: RNAcentral
GACGAACGCUGGCGGCGUGCCUAAUACAUGCAAGUUGAGCGCUGAAGGUUGGUACUUGUACCGACUGGAUGAGCAGCGAACGGGUGAGUAACGCGUGGGGAAUCUGCCUUUGAGCGGGGGACAACAUUUGGAAACGAAUGCUAAUACCGCAUAAAAACUUUAAACACAAGUUUUAAGUUUGAAAGAUGCAAUUGCAUCACUCAAAGAUGAUCCCGCGUUGUAUUAGCUAGUUGGUGAGGUAAAGGCUCACCAAGGCGAUGAUACAUAGCCGACCUGAGAGGGUGAUCGGCCACAUUGGGACUGAGACACGGCCCAAACUCCUACGGGAGGCAGCAGUAGGGAAUCUUCGGCAAUGGACGAAAGUCUGACCGAGCAACGCCGCGGGAGUGAAGAAGGGUUUCGGAUCGUAAAACUCGGUUGGUAGAGAAGAACGUUGGUGAGAGUGGAAAGCUCAUAAAGUGACGGUAACUACCCAGAAAGGGACGGCUAACUACGUG